GCAGUAGCCGCGGUAAUACGGAGGGAGCUAGCGUUGUUCGGAAUUACUGGGCGUAAAGCGCACGUAGGCGGUUAUUCAAGUCAGAGGUGAAAGCCCGGGGCUCAACCCAGGAACUGCCUUUGAAACUAGAUGACUGGAAUCUUGGAGAGGUCAGUGGAAUUCCGAGUGUAGAGGUGAAAUUCGUAGAUAUUCGGAAGAACACCAGUGGCGAAGGCGACUGACUGGACAAGUAUUGACGCUGAGGUGCGAAAGCGUGGGGAGCAAACAGGAUUAGAUACCCCCGUAGUCCCUGUCUCUUAUU
This 301-nucleotide ribosomal RNA is filed under the name uncultured bacterium. RNAcentral describes it as "partial 16S ribosomal RNA". It matches the Rfam family "Bacterial small subunit ribosomal RNA", at positions 508 to 808 of the family's 1533-position model. The record is from RNAcentral.